GCCCAGAUGGCGGAAUAGGUAGACGCAAAGGACUUAAAAUCCUUCGGUAGCUAAUACCGUGCCGGUUCAAGUCCGGCUCCGGGCACCA
RNAcentral lists this transfer RNA (88 nucleotides) under Bacillota bacterium. RNAcentral's name for it is "tRNA-Leu". It matches the Rfam family "tRNA". From Rfam's summary of the family: Transfer RNA (tRNA) molecules are approximately 80 nucleotides in length. Their secondary structure includes four short double-helical elements and three loops (D, anti-codon, and T loops). The record is from RNAcentral. Lineage: Bacteria; Bacillati; Bacillota. RNAcentral also lists the same sequence under 2 other names.